GCCGGGUCACCUUCUAUUUUCUCUCAUCUCCUUCCUUCAGCCCUUAUGUAAAUGUGGGGGAAAGAAGGGUUAAGAGUUCAAAUGAGUGCAUUUGAAAUGGGAGAGUGGAGAAGAGGGGAAGCAGGGAGUCUCUUCUGAGAAGUCAGUGGGAGAUGGCACCAGGGCAAUACAAAGGGAACUUCAGAGUCCUUGAAAGCUCCAUUCAGAUGGGCCCGUUAGAAGCGUUUCCAGACUUUCUGUUUGGGGAGAACUAGUGGGAAUUGUCUUUCAUACUGUUUGCUACUUUUCUCAGGAUUUGCCCGAGGACACCAUUGUUUUUCAGAGUGGAUUGGAAGUUUGGAUUGGGGGCAUUUGGGGUGGGGGGCAGAAUUAAAGUUCUUUUUCUUUCCCGUGGACUAGUUGGCAAAUACAAAACUCCAGGGAAGGGCCAUUAACUCACCACUGGAAAACCUGAAAGGAAAGGCUUAGUCCAGCUCCUAAGGGGCCCUAGAAGUAAGACACAUUACUUAAAAACCUCCAGUGUCCUUUCUUCCCACUGGUGCUGUUUCCCCAGUUACGCACUGUUGCAUAUGGAUUUUCUCUUGAAUCUUUUUUUUUCUUUUAAAUGUCUUUAGGCCUCACGGGACCUCAAGGACCUACAGGACUCCCUGGCAUCCCAGGCAGAGCAGGCGCUAAAGGUAAGUGGGUCUCCAAAGUGGGGGUGGGAGGGAAAAUUGGGGUGGGGAGGGGUCUUUACUGA
RNAcentral lists this long non-coding RNA (739 nucleotides) under Ornithorhynchus anatinus (platypus). Its description in RNAcentral is "lncRNA (ENSOANG00000048664.1)". Lineage: Eukaryota; Metazoa; Chordata; Mammalia; Monotremata; Ornithorhynchidae. The record is from RNAcentral.